Molecule: ribosomal RNA, 300 nt
Filed under: uncultured Mycoplasma sp.
Lineage: Bacteria; Bacillati; Mycoplasmatota; Mollicutes; Mycoplasmatales; Mycoplasmataceae
Description: bacterial SSU rRNA
Rfam family: Bacterial small subunit ribosomal RNA
Source: RNAcentral
GAUAACGGCGUGAGCGCGGGCUCGGUAAGGCGGAGGUUGGAAGCGUUACGCGGAAUCACUGGGCGUAAAGGAAGCGUAGGCGGUUUAGCAAGUGAGGUGGGAAAUCCUAGGGCUCAACCAUAGAACUGCACUUGAAACUGAUAGACUAGAGUAUGGGAGGGGGAGAUGGAAUUAGUGGUGUAGGGGUAAAAUCCGUAGAUAUCACUAGGAAUAUCUAAAGCGAAGGCGAUCUCCUGGAACAUUACUGACGCUAAGGCGUGAAAGCGUGGGGAGCAAACAGGAUUAGAUACUCGGGUAGUC